GUGAGCAGGAAAGCAGGGGAUCGCAAGACCUUGCGCUCUGGGAGCGGCCGAUGUCGGAUUAGCUAGUUGGUGGGGUAAAGGCCUACCAAGGCGACGAUCCGUAGCGGGUCUGAGAGGAUGAUCCGCCACACUGGGACUGAGACACGGCCCAGACUCCUACGGGAGGCAGCAGUGGGGAAUUUUGGACAAUGGGCGAAAGCCUGAUCUAGCCAUGCCGCGUGAGUGAAGAAGGCCUUCGGGUUGUAAAGCUCUUUCGGUGGGGAAGAAAUUGCACGGGUUAAUACCCUGUGUAGAUGACGGUACCUGGAGAAGAAGCACCGGCUAACUACGUGCCAGCAGCCGCGGUAAUACGUAGGGUGCGAGCGUUAAUCGGAAUUACUGGGCGUAAAGCGUGCGCAGGCGGUUUUGUAAGUCAGAUGUGAAAUCCCCGGGCUCAACCUGGGAACUGCAUUUGAGACUGCAAAGCUGGAGUUUGGCAGAGGGGGGUGGAAUUCCACGUGUAGCAGUGAAAUGCGUAGAGAUGU
RNAcentral lists this ribosomal RNA (524 nucleotides) under uncultured bacterium. RNAcentral's name for it is "bacterial SSU rRNA". It matches the Rfam family "Bacterial small subunit ribosomal RNA", at positions 194 to 699 of the family's 1533-position model. The record is from RNAcentral.